Molecule: transfer RNA, 66 nt
Filed under: Adaiphrotermes sp. B JRA-2021a
Lineage: Eukaryota; Metazoa; Arthropoda; Insecta; Blattodea; Termitidae
Description: tRNA-Phe
Rfam family: tRNA
About the family: Transfer RNA (tRNA) molecules are approximately 80 nucleotides in length.
Source: RNAcentral
ACUUGAAUAGCUUAUGUUUAGAGCACGACACUGAAGAUGUCGAUGAGGCAUUAAUGCCUUUAAGUG